UGAUUGAUACAUUUGUCACAGGAAAUGAAAGUCACCCUGUUCCUGUUUCUGUCUGGUCUUUGUCUCUCUUCUGUCAGGGUUAAAGACAGCAGAAAGGAAAGGGAAGAGGUUGUAAACAACAGAUCUUAGUGUGAAGACCAUGGAAAGCAUUCAAUGAGUACAGAAAACACAGGAUUCAGAUAGGGAGGAAAGCACACACAAGGUGGUAGAAUGACAUGGGCUGCGUUGAAGAGUAGAGAGGAAUCUAAGCAUAGCAUCUACAGCACAUUCUGCAGGGAGAGAGGAAGCACACUCCUCAGUAUCAGCAACCGUCAGUACAGGUAAUAAGAGAUCCCUCAAUGGCUGUGGAAGGAGCAAUCACUCCAGGAAUGAAGCAGUGUUGAUACACUACAGCUAGUGAAGGCAGCAGCAUCCUGGAUAACAGACCUCAUAUCCUGCAAGUA
Long non-coding RNA from Bufo bufo (common toad), 443 nucleotides. RefSeq lists it as uncharacterized. The transcript has 3 exons. Lineage: Eukaryota; Metazoa; Chordata; Amphibia; Anura; Bufonidae. The record is from RefSeq and is a predicted model, not a curated record.